GGGGGCGAAAGGGCUCGACGGGGGUUAUGAGGCUCAGGUUGCAUGUCGUGGUUCCGUCACCACGUAAAAAGGCGGAAACAAACACAAAAGCCAAUAACGAACUGGCACUUGCUGCUUAAUUAAAUAAGCGGCACGCUGCCCUGAAAUUGUCUGUGUUUCAGGUGACAGCGUCAUAAAGCAGGCUGGCACUGGGGACUUUCCCCUGACCCCAGGGUAAGAUUAAAGGGGAUGGGAUAAUGGAAAGCCUUUCUGCCGGCGGUUCAUUAUCCGAGAUUUAAAAGGCUGGAUAAGCAUGUAGACGCCUGAGAGUAGUACUUUCGGACGCGGGUUCAAUUCCCGCCGCCUCCACCA
RNAcentral lists this transfer-messenger RNA (351 nucleotides) under Nitrospirae bacterium RBG_13_41_22. It matches the Rfam family "transfer-messenger RNA". Rfam says of the family: Bacterial tmRNA, also known as 10Sa RNA or SsrA, is named for its dual tRNA and mRNA-like properties. Its role is to liberate the mRNA from a stalled ribosome. Lineage: Bacteria; Pseudomonadati; Nitrospirota. The record is from RNAcentral.